CAGCUUCGCCAUUUCUGUGAUGCGUGGUCAAAUUUAGCUAGUGCAUAUAUGAGGAAAGGAAGACUUAAUGAGCCAGCCUGGUGUUGUCACCAGGCUCUUGCAUUGAACCCUCGCUUGGUGAAUCCCUGUUUUGUUUUAUCAUUUAGUUUCCUUCUUUUGUUGUAGAUGCAUUGAAAUUACUAUUUGCAGAUCUUCCCCUUAUUGGCAGGUUGAUGCUCAUAGCAACCUUGGUAAUCUGAUGAAGGCACAAAGGCUUAGUACAAGAAUUUGUCAGAAAAUGCAUAUGUUCUUGUGGUAGAGAUUUCAGGUACAAUUCCUACAGAAUUAUGGAAUCUCAAGAAUUUGGUUGAGUUGACAUUGCAACGAAACAAUCUGACUGGUCUGAUUCCUCAUGCUUCGAGUAAUUUGAGAAACCUUAAAUUGUUGUUGGUCCGAUUCCUCCUCCAGGUAAGCUUGCAACAGUAAUUUGUUUAUAACUGCAGGUAUUUGUGUGGCUUUUUGGGUUAUUAAUAAAAUUCCAUCAUUCAAAAAAAUGACACAACUCUGUAAAUAUCUAGGAUGAUUAUAGCUGAAAUGAGGAUGUUCAGAUAGAUUAGUGGCAAGAUGAGGAGUUUGUUCCUUGUAGGAUUUUACAGCUGUGUAAAACUUCUAAGUCUCAUGGUGGAUGUGGUUACCAUAUGCUAGUUGUUGUCAUUUAUGCUGCUUUUGAUUCUUGAUUCACUUUGUAGUUAUUCUGCUUUUGAAGAAGUUCUCCCACAUGCUCCAACAUUGAUGACUGAUGUGUUCGGCAAUUAUGUUAUUCAAAAGUUUUUGGAGCAUGGAAGCCCUGCGCAGAGAAAAGAACUAGCAAAUCAGCUUGCUGGCCGCAUUCAACCUUUGAGCCUUCAGAUGUAUGGGUGCCGGGUAAUUCAAAAAGGCCCUACACAAUUCAAUCUGGCUAAUCCACGCUUACACAUGUUGCCCUUUUUAAUGGACGGUAUCUGCUUGAUUUUAUUAUUAUUAUUAUUAUAGUUGUUGUGGGAUGCAAAUAUGCUCUGCUUGAAUUCAUGAUGGGAGCUGAUUACUUGGGUUUUACCAAUCAAAGGGUAGGUGUUAAUGUAGAUGGACAACAUUCUUAUGAUCUCAGACUAGUUUGAGAUCUGUGACUAAGACUCACUAACACAACAUGGGCACCAUAUACAGACCAAUGUUUCAAAAAUUGAACCAUAGGGGCCAACCCAUUUCAUAAGUAGGAAGAAAAUCAGGUGCAAUAGAAAUGCUUGUUUUGGUUGAUGGCAGGAAGAUGUGAACCUAAUGCAUGAGAAUUAGUUUGAGUUAAGAAACACUUUGUAAGAUGUCUCAUCUAGAGUGCAUCCCGUUUUUAGUUGUGUUUGGACUGAGCGUUGCGGCCCAUGUGUUGGAAAUGUACGUGCUUGUAUUUGUAGAUCUUGUUUAAUUAAUAUUACUUCAAAUCUGUACAUAUACAUGAGUGCAAAGACUUCUAUGAUAUGCUUCAUGCAUUUGUCAAAUCAUUGUAGUUGUCCGAUCAGUGUGAUUUGGGUGCUAUGGUGUAUCCAUGAUUGGGUCCACAGAAUAAUCUGGGUCACCAUGUGCAAUCUGUAUUGCACUUUAUAUUGCUGCCUUGCUGGUUGUAUAAUAGGUAAUUUGCGAUAUGGAUGCAUACUUCUAGCUAACAUGUCUGGAUCUUUUUCUUGGAAGUGUAUCUAAAUGGUGCAUAGGUAGCAGUCGUAAAUAUUUUUUUGUUUAUAGUCUAAAUUUGGUUUUUUGUCUAAUUAGCUAGCAAUCAAAGGCCUCAAAUGUAUUUUUUUAAAUAACUUGUUAGGCAUCAAAUGGUUUUUACUAAAUCUAUUUCAUCACUAUAGCCUUGUCCCAGCUAUUAGGGGCAGCCCGGGCAGGAUUCCAUGAAAAUCUAUUUGUUGAUCAAAUUCCAUUGCUGAAUGCAUUGGGUAGUUUGUUGUUCUCUUAACAUUAGCCCACUUCUGAUUUUUAUUUUUUUCUAUCUGAGAAUGAUUUAGUAUUGCACAUCAGCUCAACAGAUCUA
This is a long non-coding RNA of Magnolia sinica, 2041 nucleotides long. RefSeq lists it as uncharacterized. The record is from RefSeq and is a predicted model, not a curated record. NCBI's taxonomy places the organism in Eukaryota, Viridiplantae, Streptophyta, Magnoliopsida, Magnoliales, Magnoliaceae. The transcript has 5 exons.